GUGGUGAAAAGAACAUUGCGCGCGUAGAAUAAGAAAAACUUAUUAUAAAGAUAAUAACGGAAAACACAAACAAGGAGAUGUGACCUAGUGUUUGAAUGUGAGCAUGUAUAUGCUAAGGAGUGUUGUAUUAAUUUUGUGGGUAUAUGCAUGAUACAAUGGAAUGCCAAAAGAUGAUCUACAGAUGUAUGUAUGUGGUAUACACAAACCUGCCGUCGAGUGUCUAGUGUGAAUGAAUAGUUUCUCUUUUGCAUCUAAUAAGGUGUUAAUUUAAUUGUUAAAACAACUUCAGUUUCAACAGGUGACUAAAUACGUGACCGGUAAUUUAUGAUUUUGUCUGCAUUCGAAGAUCCACUGCUAUAGGACUUGAGAAGUUUCGGAGUUGUAAAAGUGCGUCGUCAGUAAAGCACUAUUUUGGAAAACCUGAACCUGUCAAUGGACAUACAUACUAUAUUUGAAGAUUUUAUUCAACAAAAAUAUUGUUCUCUGAAGUAAAUAAAAAGUAAAUAAGAAAUGGGUGCAAUUCUAUAUUCUUCAGCUUAGUUAUGAUAUAAUUUUCUGAAAAAUGAAGGAAAUAAACAAGGAAGUGAAUAAAUAUUGAUUGUAGUGGUAUAGUU
Long non-coding RNA from Bactrocera neohumeralis, 614 nucleotides. RefSeq lists it as uncharacterized. NCBI's taxonomy places the organism in Eukaryota, Metazoa, Arthropoda, Insecta, Diptera, Tephritidae. The transcript is spliced from 2 exons. The record is from RefSeq and is a predicted model, not a curated record.